This is a non-coding RNA of Danionella cerebrum, 64 nucleotides long. The record is from the annotation of a GenBank genome assembly. NCBI's taxonomy places the organism in Eukaryota, Metazoa, Chordata, Actinopteri, Cypriniformes, Danionidae.
UCCUUGAUGGUCUAGUGGUCAGGAUCUCACCGCAGCGGCCCGUGUUCGAUUCCCGGUCAGGGAA